Molecule: non-coding RNA, 106 nt
Filed under: Ixodes ricinus (castor bean tick)
Lineage: Eukaryota; Metazoa; Arthropoda; Arachnida; Ixodida; Ixodidae
Source: RNAcentral
GGAGCCGGGGUCGCAGCGGCAGAGCCUGCGUGCCGCUGGCCGUCGCCGACGCCUCCGAGGCGCCGCACGUGCUCUGCUGCCGGCUCUGGCGCUGGCCCCAGCUCCG